This 232-nucleotide ribosomal RNA is filed under the name uncultured bacterium. RNAcentral's name for it is "partial 16S ribosomal RNA". It matches the Rfam family "Bacterial small subunit ribosomal RNA", at positions 118 to 347 of the family's 1533-position model. The record is from RNAcentral.
UGAGCAAUCUGCCCUUCUCAUCGGAAUAAGCGUUGGAAACGACGUCUAAUGCCGAAUACGACCUCCUUUCGCAUGAUCGGAGGUGGAAAGCUCCGGCGGAGAAGGAUGAGCUCGCGGCCUAUCAGCUAGUUGGUGUGGGUAAUGGCCCACCAAGACGACGACGGGUAGCCGGCCUGAGAGGGUGACCGGCCACACUGGGACUGAGACACGGCCCAGACUCCUACGGGAGCAG